Molecule: long non-coding RNA, 663 nt
Organism: Bos taurus (domestic cattle)
Lineage: Eukaryota; Metazoa; Chordata; Mammalia; Artiodactyla; Bovidae
Source: Ensembl
AGAGAACAAAUCGUAACAAGCCAUGCAUGUAUGUUAUUUUAAAAAAAACAGGUUUUAUCCUGUAAUUAAUGGAAACUUACUGAACAUUCGUAAGUAAGAGAAAGAUACAAUCAGAUCUACUAAAGUUUUUUUCUAAGACUCCUUUUUUUCUCCCAAAUAACCUGAUUUCUUCAAGAGAGAGACUUCAGUGCUUGGUAACCUUUUAUAGACUCUGGCUGAUGAUACUCUCCAGUCAAAAAGAGUCCCAUGAUAUGGUCCUAAUAUGUCUUCUUCACCUGUGUAUUCCAGCACCCAGAACAAUUCUGAUACUCAGAAAGUACCUAGAAAUUGCUUGCUGACACUCUAAGUCAUCUGUAAAGCAGAAGGAUGCCACAAAGGACCACGAUAAAACCAGACUGAAACAGCUAGAUCCAAGAUGGUGGAUAAAGGCUUCCCUGGUGGCUCAGUGGUAAAGAAUCAGCCUGCCAAUACAGGAAACACGGGUUCAGUUCCUGGGCCAGGAAGAUCCCACAUGCAACAGAGCAACUACUGAAGCUCCGUUGCCACAAUUACUGAAGCCCAAGCACCCUAGAGCCAGUUCUCCACAAGAGAAGCCGCAGCAAUGAGAAGCCCGUGCACUGCAACUAGAGAGGAGCCCCUGCUUGCUGAAGCUAGAGAAAAGCC